UACGUAGGCAGCAAGCGUUGUUCGGAAUUACUGGGCGUAAAGGGUGCGUAGGCGGUUGGCCAAGUUUGGUGUGAAAUCUCCCGGCUUAACUGGGUGGGUGCGCCGAAAACUGGCUGGCUAGAGUGUGGGAGAGGGAGGUGGAAUUCCUGGUGUAGCGGUGAAAUGCGUAGAUAUCAGGAGGAACACCUGGGGUGUAGACGGCUUCCUGGACCAUUACUGACGCUGAGGCACGAAAGCGUGGGGAGCAAACAGG
Molecule: ribosomal RNA, 253 nt
Filed under: uncultured bacterium
Lineage: Bacteria
Description: partial 16S ribosomal RNA
Rfam family: Bacterial small subunit ribosomal RNA
Source: RNAcentral